UACGUGUGAGGCAAGCGUUGUUCGGAAUUACUGGGCGUAAAGGGCUCGUAGGUGGCCAACUAAGUCGGACGUGAAAUCCCUCAGCUUAACUGGGGAACUGCGUCCGAUACUGGAUGGCUUGAGUUUGGGAGAGGGAUGCGGAAUUCCAGGUGUAGCGGUGAAAUGCGUAGAUAUCUGGAGGAACACCGGUGGCGAAGGCGGCAUCCUGGACCAACACUGACACUGAGGAGCGAAAGCCAGGGGAGCAAACGGG
Molecule: ribosomal RNA, 253 nt
Filed under: uncultured bacterium
Lineage: Bacteria
Description: partial 16S ribosomal RNA
Rfam family: Bacterial small subunit ribosomal RNA
Source: RNAcentral